CGCGGUAUGAGUCUCAUGACGUUGAUUUUGUUGUCUUAACCCAGUUACUGUAGUGAGCUACAGCAGCUCUGCCUCGCCUGUGACAGCUCGCCGAUACAUGCUGCAGUUAUGUAGCGGACAGAAGACGGACUUUACCCCGCUGUGACCGGCCAACGUCAGCUAAUGUCACGGUCCUCUGUCGGCGUGUGAAACGACCGCGUCUGUCAGCCAGCCAGCUAGCUAACUAAUUAGCUAGCUAGCCGCACGCUAGCAGACAAGCUGGUGUGAGUUUGCAAUGUGCUGCUGUUUGUUUUCCUCUCUGUCGUCUCGGCCGGCUAUAUAACGCAGCUGCCAGGCGGCUAACCCAGCUAGCUACCUGUUGUGUGGGGAGGGAAGCAGAAAAAAAAAAACGACAAAAAACUACACCACAUCUUUUUUCCCCCCCCACAUAUGCUGUUGGUGCUAUCAGGUGUCCGGCUAAAAGAUGUGGCAGAGUGUCGGACUCACACUGCUGGUCAUUGUGGCCACACUGGUCUGUGCGCUGCUCUUCAUGCUGUUUGGUUGGUAUGUAGUGUGGCAGCUCUUCCUGUCCAAAUUCAAGUUCCUGCGUGAACUCGUCGGGGACGCCAGCACCCCGCAGGCCGAAACGCAGCCGUCCGAAACGAAGAGCGAGCGCACAGCUAGCGCCCCGACGCGAAAUCGGCCCAGGACGGCACGCCAAAGAGUCGCCUCUCCGGAGAGCACUUCAUAGAAAAUCACCCAGACAGCCACUGUGCACCCAACGCUCUGCUCACAGUGACCGCUCAUCAGAAAUGUUUCCCACUGACCUUCUUCUCUACACUACACAAGGACGCUCAGUCAGCCCUCCUCUUCAUCAGGACACUUUAAACUGACCAGGCAGAUCUCCUGGUUUCAAAGGGAAAAGCCAUUUAUGUACAUUGAUGUCCAUUUCUGUAUGUCAUCUGUUCAUAUGUUUUAAUUAUGUACAGUCAUGUGUACUGAGUCUGAGGCUGCUUCCUGCCACCUGCUGUGGAGUGCGACGCUGCUCCAUCACACACACACACACACACACACAGAUGUUUUAAUCCUCUCACACGUGUUACAGUCUUGUGUUUUUAACUGAAGUGAGUCCCGCGUUGAACUGAGGUGGAGGAUAAAUGUUAAAAAUGACCUCGUCGACAUCAUUUCAAGAUAAAAACUGAAAAACAGACGACUUGUACAGCUGACUUGUAUGUUCCUUAAAAAAGUGCAAUGAAAGGAUCGUUCACGCUGUCAUGUUGAUGUUUCCUGCACAGUAUACUCUUUGUAUUACAGACGACCAUCCAGUAGAAGAAGAAAAUGCCCCCAGAGCCUCCCGGGCAGAUAACGAAUGACACGGCUUCAUUCCAAUUUAUACUUGAAGAGUGAGGAGAAGGUGUCGAGGACUGUUGGUGUUCAGAAGCAGCUCCGUGUGUUAUUAGCUGAUCUGGAGGAGCGUCUGAACCGUCUCCCGUUCCCUGUGCCUCUUGUCUGUACCAGUGCCUGUCGAGAUGGCAUCCACUGUUUGUACCGCGACCUCCUUUUGUAUGGCUGACAAGUAGCUCGGUUACCAUUACAGAGCAAAUCAAAGCUGACCAGGGCCUAGUCGAUAUUUAUGUGAUAAUAUUCUCCCUCCAGGUAAAACUCAUGUAACUCUUGCACCUUUUUAUCAGCUUUUAUUUUUCCUUCCUUCUUCUUCAGUGGAGCACCAGCUUCAAAUAAAUAAUGCCAUACGUAUGUCGAGCACUGUUUGUUUGUGAAGAAAAAUAAAUGAUUGGUGGCUCACCGUUC
Molecule: RNA transcript, 1788 nt
Organism: Acanthopagrus latus (yellowfin seabream)
Lineage: Eukaryota; Metazoa; Chordata; Actinopteri; Spariformes; Sparidae
Gene: smim13
Gene name: small integral membrane protein 13
Exons: 3
Source: RefSeq, a predicted model, not a curated record